GUGAGAAAGGUCAUCGUCCAUCAGAAGGUCCGCAGUAGCCUAACGCUGUAUCACAAUGCCCACAUCAUUCACCUCACUUCAUCUCAUCACAUAGGAACUUUAUCAUCUCAUAUCAUCACUAGAAGAAAGCUCCAUGAGGACAAGAACAUGUCUGGUUUUGCUCAGCACUGUACAUCCAGUGAUAACAAAAUGAAUGACAUGAAGUAUGCACGCAGUAUUUAUUGAACAAAUCUAUGAAUGAACUCACAGUUUCAAUGCCUGUACCACAGCCACUGCAAGUGGUUGAUGCCCUGCUGGACUGAUACUCAAUUGAGACGCACAGCCUCCCUGGUGCUUCUUUGAGUACAGGCACGGGUGCUGAGAGUCGGUGUGGUGCAUUCCAGCUGAGGUGCACCUGGCAGGAGCUCCCGCGGACAGUCAGCUCACCCUUCUUUCCUGCUACUGGUCACCAUUUACCUUCAGUUACUGCUGUGAAGUGAUUAGGGUGCAGAACACAUAUUUUAUUACUGCUGAUGUUGUUGGCUACCAUUAAUUGAGAGCUUAUGUGUUAAACACCAUCAGGCUUUCAUUCAUUUUCAGAUUUAAUACUUAAAAUAUCCCUAUAAGAUAGGACUGCCACCAUUUUCCAGAUGAAGACCCUGAGGCUCAGAAAAGUUAAGUAACUUCUCCAGGGUCCCACAGUUGGUUACAGGAGCCCUGGGUCUAGAACCAAAGUUGAAAGCCUGCCUCUAAAGCCUAUGCUUUAAACCACUACCCUCUACUGCAGGAGGCGUCCUGGGCAGGGCUUUGCUGUCAAGUCCACAGCGCAGUAAACUGAGGCAAGGGACACGGGGCAGUUCUGUCUCUUGCCCAUUACCUGCCCUGAGCCCAGCUGAGUACGAAAGCCUGGGUGAAAGAAAGCCUGGUUCAGGAUGUUAUGUCCCUGAUUUUCAGGGACAACGGUCCCAGUGGUUUUAUGAGGGAGCUGCAUGAAUAGCUAAUAAACAGGGAAGGCUCUGCAACCCUCCGUCUGAUCAAUAGGAAGCCAAGCUCAAGAAAAGAUAAUACUGUUGUACCAAGUAACACAGGCAGACUGCAGCACCACCAGGCCUGAGACCCCCAUCCCCCUGCUGGCCCCACUUGUUCCGUUCACUCUAUGACAUUAAAAGCACACAAGGCUCUCUUUACCACAUUCCUUGGGUUUCAAGGCCGCUGUUCCCGUCUUCCCUUCCCAAUCCUAAUACUUUUUUCUUUCUUUUUAACAUUUGAGGAAGAAAGUGUUGCAGUUAACAACAUUUGAAUUCCACAAUGUCACCAUAACAUGUCAUAAAUACUUUUAUUACUUAUUAUGAAAUGCUUAGGGACCAUGGAAGACUAAAGUUUAUUCGAUUCUUUCUAAUGUAGCUCAAACAAGUGUAUUGCGGUCAUAGACUGGGUGUGGGUAGGGAGGGGGCUGGACUUGUUGAUUUAAUCUUCUCGAUGCCAUAGGCAGUAUCUCUGUGAUUGUGCUGGAAUUGCAUUUCACUGGAAGAUAGAUUUGUUUUAGCUGAGUCUUUGUGGUCCUGAGAAUGGCGAGUUCUCAGAAAUACCUACCCAGGCAUCCAGCACUGUCUGAGUGAGUUAAGGGUGCCUGUGGACCAAGAGUCUGGUCACCCCAGAGCCCACAGUAAUCAGAAAAUCCCGUCCCAGGAAGCACUGUGCGUGCAAAGCCAGUUGGGCAAACCAACUUUGGGAGUACUUUCAGUACUUUCUAACCAUGGAUAAAAAGACUAGAGACCGUAAGCCCUGCACACAUCACUCCCACUGCCCUGCAUACCUGCAAGCCAGGAAUUUUGCUCAUACUAAAAAGGCAUCUUCCAAGAGGACCUAUGAACUUAAAAACAAGUGCUGUUUAAUUUGCCGUUCAUUACGGGUGUAUCUGGAUUGAUUUAUUGCGCCCUUUUGACCCCAAGUCUUUGGAAUAGCAUUCCUUCACGAUUAAACAGAGAAAGGAUUCAGGCACAACACUCAGGGAUAAGCACAGAAGGCGACACCCGUACCUCAGAUUGCUCCGUAUCAGGUAACGCAAAGGGAACGCUGAACCCAAUUCCACGUGGAAUGCACGUGAGCCAGACAAGAGUUGGCAAGUUCUUUGACCCACGUUUCUCUAACCUUUCCUAAAGGAUGUGGCCAGCACAGACCACUAUUAUCCAGAUUAUGGGCUUUUGAGUACUUCCACAUU
Manis javanica (Malayan pangolin) is the source of this 2200-nucleotide long non-coding RNA. RefSeq lists it as uncharacterized. The record is from RefSeq and is a predicted model, not a curated record. NCBI's taxonomy places the organism in Eukaryota, Metazoa, Chordata, Mammalia, Pholidota, Manidae.